ACAAGCGGAGGAGCAUGUGGUUUAAUUCGAUGAUACGCGAGGAACCUUACCUGGGCUCGAACGUAAGAUGACUGUAGGUGAAAGCUUACAUCUCUUCGGAGCAUUUUACGAGGUGCUGCAUGGUUGUCGUCAGCUCGUGCCGUGAGGUGUCGGGUUAAGUCCCAUAACGAGCGCAACCCUACCUUUAGUUGCCAUCAGGUAAUGCUGGGGACUCUAAAGGAACUGCCUACGCAAGUAGUGAGGAAGCGGGGAUGACGUCAAAUCAGCACGGCCCUUACGUCUAGGGCUACACACGUGCUACAAUGGCCGAUACAGAGGGCAGCUACCUGGUGACAGGAUGCAAAUCUCCAAAGUCGGUCUCAGUUCGGAUCGGAGUCUGCAACCCGACUCCGUGAAGUUGGAUUCGCUAGUAAUCGCGCAUCAGCCAUGGCGCGGUGAAUACGUUCCCGGGCCUU
RNAcentral lists this ribosomal RNA (455 nucleotides) under uncultured Sphingobacteriales bacterium. RNAcentral describes it as "bacterial SSU rRNA". It matches the Rfam family "Bacterial small subunit ribosomal RNA", at positions 925 to 1382 of the family's 1533-position model. Lineage: Bacteria; Pseudomonadati; Bacteroidota; Sphingobacteriia; Sphingobacteriales. The record is from RNAcentral.